GAUGAACGCUGGCGGCGUGCCUAAUACAUGCAAGUCGAGCGAACAGAUGAGGAGCUUGCUCCUCUGACGUUAGCGGCGGACGGGUGAGUAACACGUGGAUAACCUACCUAUAAGACUGGGAUAACUUCGGGAAACCGGAGCUAAUACCGGAUAAUAUAUUGAACCGCAUGGUUCAUUAGUAAAAGACGGUUUUGCUGUCACUUAUAGAUGGAUCCGCGCCGCAUUAGCUAGUUGGUAAGGUAACGGCUUACCAAGGCAACGAUGCGUAGCCGACCUGAGAGGGUGAUCGGCCACACUGGAACUGAGACACGGUCCAGACUCCUACGGGAGGCAGCAGUAGGGAAUCUUCCGCAAUGGGCGAAAGCCUGACGGAGCAACGCCGCGUGAGUGAUGAAGGUCUUCGGAUCGUAAAACUCUGUUAUUAGGGAAGAACAAAUGUGUAAGUAACUAUGCACGUCUUGACGGUACCUAAUCAGAAAGCCACGGCUAACUACGUG
This 497-nucleotide ribosomal RNA is filed under the name uncultured bacterium. RNAcentral describes it as "partial 16S ribosomal RNA". It matches the Rfam family "Bacterial small subunit ribosomal RNA", at positions 28 to 507 of the family's 1533-position model. The record is from RNAcentral.